GCUCCGUUGGUGAACCAGCGGAGGGAUCAUUACAGGGUUUUCACAACUCCCAACCCAUGCGAACCGUACCCAUUCUGUUCUCGUUGCUUCCGGCGGGGGGGACGGGGGGGCCCGAAACGGCCUCCCCGCCCCGCCCGCCGGGGGCGGCGGGCCCUACGAACCUUUAUAUCUCAACCACCAGAAACCGUCUGAGAAAACAAACAAAAUAAUCAAAACUUUCAACAACGGAUCUCUUGGCUCUG
This 242-nucleotide unclassified non-coding RNA is filed under the name plant metagenome. Its description in RNAcentral is "partial contains small subunit ribosomal RNA, internal transcribed spacer 1, and 5.8S ribosomal RNA". The record is from RNAcentral.